Molecule: ribosomal RNA, 373 nt
Filed under: uncultured organism
Description: partial 16S ribosomal RNA
Rfam family: Bacterial small subunit ribosomal RNA
Source: RNAcentral
GGAGGUGGCAAGCGUUGUUCGGAAUUACUGGGCGUAAAGGGCGCGUAGGCGGGGAGGCAAGUCGGGUGUGAAAUCCCUCGGCCCAACCGAGGAACGGCGCUCGAAACUGCUUCUCUUGAGUCCCGGAGAGGAAGGUGGAAUUCCCGGUGUAGCGGUGAAAUGUGUAGAGAUCGGGAGGAACACCGGUGGCGAAGGCGGCCUUCUGGACGGUGACUGACGCUGAGGCGCGAAAGCGUGGGUAGCAAACGGGAUUAGAUACCCGGUAGUCCACGCUGUAAACGAUGGGUGCUAGGUGUGGGGGGUAUCGACCCCCUUCCCGUGCCCGAAGCUAACGCAUUAAGCACCCCGCCUGGGGAGUACGGCCGCAAGGUUG